Molecule: RNA transcript, 3432 nt
Organism: Dermochelys coriacea (leatherback sea turtle)
Lineage: Eukaryota; Metazoa; Chordata; Testudines; Dermochelyidae
Gene: PRR7
Gene name: proline rich 7, synaptic
Exons: 2
Source: RefSeq, a predicted model, not a curated record
AGGUGCCACAAGUCCUCCUUUUCUUUUAGUCUUGCUGUGGAGCCCCCAAGUGGCCCUGGGUGCAGCAUGCAAUGGUUAAUCAUUGAAAUACAAACACCCUUAGUUCUAGUCUGAUUUUUAUUCAGCUUCCAGACACUGGAGCUUGUUCUGCCUUUGUCUCGCGUAAAGCUCCCUCUCCCGUCAAAUCUUUCUGCCAUGUAGGAACUCGGACUGUGAUCUAUUCACCUCUUAACUUUCGCUGGUAAACUAAACAAUUGAUCCUCUGGCUCUCACCAGGCAGGGAAUCGUGCUACUGGCUCUCUUUGGAACCUUUCCAAGUGUUCUCAGCAUCCUUUUGGAAGUGUGGCCCCCAGAAUUGGACACAGCAUCUAGUAGCAGUCUCACUAUGGCUGUCUGCAGAGGUGACACCGCCUGCCUCGUCCUGCUGAUAGUUACCAGUUAGAGAAUAUUUCAAUAAGUUUGAUGGAUUUGAGUUAGCAGGGCCUGAGGAAAUUCAUCCUAGAGCACAAAGGAACUAGUGGACGCCAUCUCAGAAACAUUAGCAAUUAAUUAUCUUGGAGAACUUGGGGGAGGGUUGAGGUCCCAGAGGACUGGAGAAGGGCACACAGGUAAAAAAGGGGAACAAAGGGGACCCAGGAAAUUAUAGACCAGUCAGCCUAACUUCAAUACCUGGAAAGAUACUGGAACAAACUAUUACACAAUCCAUUUGUGAGCACCUAGAGGAUAAGAGGUUAUAAGGAACAGCCCGUGUGAAUUUGUCAAGAACCAACCUCAUCUUCUUUAACAGGGUCACUGGCCUAGCAGAUGGGGGGAAGCCGCAGAUGAGAUAUCUUGAUUUUAGCAAGGCUUGUGACACAGUCCCACAUGACAUUCUCAUAAGCAAACUGGGGAAGUUCGGGCUAGAUGGAAUUACUAGAAGAUGGGUGCACAACUGGCUGAACAGUCGUCCUCAAUGAGGAGUUAUCAGCAGCUCGCUGUCAAACUGGGAGAGCGGAGCUAGUGCAGGCAUCAGUCCUGAGGCUAGUCCUAGUCGCUAUUUUUGUCCAUGACUUGGGUAAUGGAGUGGAGAGGGUGCUUAUAAAAUCCACAGCUGACACUAAGCUAGGAGGGGUUGCAAGCAUUUAGGAGGGCUGGAUUAGAGUUCAAAAUGACCUUGACAAACUAAAGAAUUGGUCUAAAAUCAAUAAGAUUAAAUUAAAUAAAGACAAGUGCAAAGUACUACAUUUAGGAAGGAAAAAUCAAAUGUCCAGCUACAGAAUGGGGAAUAACUGGCCAAGUGAUAGCUCUGCUGAAAAGGCUCUGGGGUUACAGUGGAUCACAAAUUGAACAUGAGUGAAUCAUAUGAUGCAGCUGCAAAAAAAAGACUAAUCACCCUGGUGGUGCAUUAACAACAGGAAUGUCCUGUGUAAGCCAGGGGAGGUCAGUGUCCCGCUCUACUCAGCACUGGGGAGGCCCUGGCUGGAGUGUCCAGUUCUGGGUACAGCACAUUAGGAAAGAUGUGGACCAAUAGGAGGGAGUCCAGAAGAGAGCAACAAAAAAUAUCAAAGGUUUAGAAACCCGGACCUAUGAGGACAGGUUAAAACACCAGGUGUGUUUAGUCUUGACAAAAGAAACUGACCAAGGGAUGGGUACCUGAUAAGUUUCCAGUUAUGUGAAGGGCUGUUCGAAAGAGGAUUGUGAUCAAUUGCUCCCCGUGUCACUGAAGGCAGGACAAGAAGCAAUGGGCUUUGUCUGCAGCGAGGGAGAUUGAGGUUAGAUAUUAGGAAAACUUCUUAACUCUCAGGAUGGUUAAUCUGUGGCACAGGCGUCUGGAGAGGUUGUGGAAUCCCCAUCAUUGGAGGGUUUUAAGACCAGGUUGGACAAACACCUGCCAAGGAGUGUCCAGCUUUUCUUAGUCCUGCUUCAGCGUAGGGGGCUGGGCUCGGUGACAUGUCGAGGUGGUUCCAGCCCUUCAUUUCUGUAACGUGGCGAUUCCUUGCUCAUAUAGCCAAGGAUCACGUUCGCCCUCCUAGUGAAGCACCGUGCUGGGUGCUCCCAUUCAGCAGGCUUGUCAUGAGCCCAAGUCCUGGUCUGUGUUGCUGCUUUCCAAGGUGCUGUCCCCCAGCCUGGGAGUGCGGCUGGUCCUCCGGGUUCCUGCGUGUAGGUGGGUUAAAGGCAUGGGGCUGAGCCCACUUUACAGUGUGAUGCGAAUCACUCUGCAGAACUGACCUGUCAGCAGUUAUCAUGCCAUCAAUUUUUGUCCUCUACAAAAUUAGAGCAACCGCUUUAUCUUCAGCCCGAUGAUACUGACAGCCUUUGGCCAAAACCAGACCCCUGCCGGACCCCUCUAGAAACAAGAUGUAUGUAAAGGGCAGGCCACCUCCCCACUGUCCUCUUAUGGCCAGGGAUGGCUCUGCAGCACCCAGCCUCAGUUUCCCCUUCGCAGGUUCCCAGGAAUGCUCUGUGGAGGCUUACAUGCAAUACCAACCCCCUUCCUUGGGGACUGGUUCAUUAACAUAAAGCAAACCCAAAGGUAAGUCUCUGCUCCACCAGCCUCCCAUGGGGUGCAGCACCUCCUCCCUGAGCUCUGGCUAGCUCCCAGCCUCUCCACUCGGCCCAAUUUUUAGCCCUUCCCAGGUUCUGCUCAGUCUGUCCCUGUGACAGGGGGUUGCACAGGCCUCCUUGCUGGCCUGUGUUUCAGCUUCCCCAGCUGCGUCCUUCAGGUACCUUAUUCAGCAGCUCUCUGUCAUUCUUCCCCUUCCCUCCUUGGGCUGAGAAGUCCAGACAGCAUCCCUCCCCCGCUGCUGGCUCCCCUUUAGGGCCCAGGGGCUUCCUGUCAACCCAGUUGGGCACCAAGUAAUCAGUCAUGGGUGCGCCAGCCCUGCUCCCUCUUAAAGGGGCCAGUCACCCCGUGACAGCCUCUGGGGACGAAAAUACCCCAUUGAUAAUUGUUUUUGGAGUCUGUCAGCCGGUUUCUAGUCCAUUUAAUCUGUGCUUCAUUAAGAACUAGCACUAUACAAAUGCAAUCAAUUAAUAAUGUAAUCGAGGACUGGGUGGGGCUACAGUUAAAUGCCUUACAGAAAUCUAAUUGUCCUUUCAAGUUACCUUUACUAACUAUGGUUGUAAUCUCAAAACAAUACCAAAUUUGUUUGACGAGACCUGUUUUCUGUGAAACUACAUGGAUUGACAUUAAUUAUGCUGCUCUCCUCUUUAUUCUUUACUGAUUGCAUCCUGUAGCAGCUUUUCUAUGAUAUUGCCCAGGAUUAACAUCAGACUAAUUGGCCUAUAGUUACCUGGCUCAUCUCACUUAAGCUAAAAGGGGGGCACCAUCGGCGGCUCGGCACAGCGAUGGAAAGAAGCUGGGCUGGGCGCUCUUGGUUUGGACGGGGCUACCCAGCCUGGCCUGCGGCUCUGCAGAUCCCUGUGGCGGACGAGCCCCUCCAGAGUGCCCAC